RNAcentral lists this ribosomal RNA (270 nucleotides) under uncultured Spirochaeta sp. Its description in RNAcentral is "partial 16S ribosomal RNA". It matches the Rfam family "Bacterial small subunit ribosomal RNA", at positions 1114 to 1382 of the family's 1533-position model. The record is from RNAcentral. Lineage: Bacteria; Pseudomonadati; Spirochaetota; Spirochaetia; Spirochaetales; Spirochaetaceae.
GUUGCCACCACGAGAGGUGGGGACGUCAGGCGGGACCGCCGGUGACAAACCGGAGGAAGGUGGGGACGGACGUCAAGUCAUCAUGGCCCUUAUGUCCUGGGCUACACACGUGCUACAAUGGCCGGUACAGAGCGCAGCGAGGCCGCGAGGCGGAGCGAAUCGCUUAAAGCCGGUCCCAGUACGGAUUGGAGUCUGCAACCCGACUCCAUGAAGUUGGAAUCGCUAGUAAUCGCGCAUCAGCAUGGCGCGGUGAAUACGUUCCCGGGCCUU